This 328-nucleotide unclassified non-coding RNA is filed under the name soil metagenome. Its description in RNAcentral is "partial contains 5.8S ribosomal RNA, internal transcribed spacer 2, and large subunit ribosomal RNA". The stretch from base 1 to 120 matches the Rfam family "5.8S ribosomal RNA", at positions 35 to 154 of the family's 154-position model. The record is from RNAcentral.
GAUGAAGAACGUAGUGAAAUGCGAUAAGUAAUGUGAAUUGCAGAAUUCAGUGAAUCAUCGAAUCUUUGAACGCACAUUGCGCCCCUUGGUAUUCCGAGGGGCAUGUCUGUUCGAGCGUCAUUAUAACCCCUCAAGCUCAGCUUGGUAUUGGGGCCUGCCAUCCUGGCAGCCCUUAAAAUCAGUGGCGGUGCCAUCCGGCUCUAAGCGUAGUAACUCUUCUCGCUAUGGAGUCCUGGUGGAUGCUUGCCAUUAAUCUUUUAACUUCUAUGGUUGACCUCGGAUCAGGUAGGGAUACCCGCUGAACUUAAGCAUAUCAAUAAGCGGAGGA